RNA transcript from Anthonomus grandis grandis, 2147 nucleotides. RefSeq lists it as uncharacterized. The transcript is spliced from 8 exons. The record is from RefSeq and is a predicted model, not a curated record. Lineage: Eukaryota; Metazoa; Arthropoda; Insecta; Coleoptera; Curculionidae.
UAGAGGAUUAGUUUGUUAAUUAUUCAUACCAGUAAUUAUUUACAAAAGACUUAUAUAAGUUUCAAAUUUGGGAUAAUUAUCAUUUACGUCAAACAUACUCCCAAAACGUCUAGUAAUGCCAACAACAGACUUAUCCAAUGGAGGAUACCAAAAAAUUCAGCUUAUUGGCUUUAACCAAAAAUUCAUGUUUCUUUUGGGUAUAUGGCCCUAUAAAACAGGCGACAUAAAAGAACUGCUUUACGAAUCUUACUUCUGGUUAUCGUUAAUUUACUUUCUUUUAUUCAAUACUAGCGGAUUUGCGUUAGCUAUUUUAACUUGGUCGGAUGAUUAUAUUGCAACUGCUUCUAGUAUGGGUAUUGUUAUAGAGUAUGUUAGUUGUGCUUAUAAGAUUCUUAUAUUCAAAUCCAAAACAUUCAAAUGCCUUAUUCGUCAAAUAAAAAUUAAGGAAAACCAGAUUCUCCAAAGUCAAGACUCAGAUUUUAUAAAGAUCUAUAGACAGGAUGCUCAGGAUAAUAAAAGCCUCGUUUUAUUAUACACAAUUAUGGGAACUACCGGAAUAAGUCUAUACUUUAUCGUACCUUUAGUGAGCAAUAUUGUAAUUCCAUUGGAUUACAAUAAUAAAACUGGGAUUAUCAAGCACCACUUUAUUGUCUUCACCUGGUUUCCAUUUGACCCUGAUAGAUAUUAUUGGGCGGCAUACUUAAUACAAUUUUUUGGUUGUUUAUACGGUUAUGCCUAUAUAGUGCAUGGAGGAGCGUUUCAUUUAAGCAUUUUAUCUUUUAUUAAAUUAAGACUCAAAAUUAUUCAGCAUAUUUUUACAAAUUUUACGAAGUAUUCUGAAAAGAGUCAGCGAGAAUAUAAAUUAGAAACGGCCGAGCAAUCCCAAAUGGUUUUGCUUAAACUCAUUAUACUUGAACAUCUUGAUAUCAUAAAGUUUGUGAAAGAUCUGAACCAAGCUAUAAGAAUUUACACUUUAUUCAAUUUUAUAAUAUCAUCAUUUCAACUAUCCCUUGUAGUGUAUCAACUGUUUAAACUACCUUUUCUAAAAGUAAUUCCAGUAUUUACUUAUUUCACAACCCUGAGUACACAUUUAUUCCUAAUCUACAGUGCUGCCCAUAAUAUUUCAAUUGAGAGCGAGAACAUUGCGUCAAGUAUUUUUAAAGGUAACUGGGAUUCUUACUCUUUCAGAGUAAUUAAAACAAUGCAAAUGAUUUGCAUAAGGGCACAAAAGCCCCUAGUAAUGACGAUUGGACCCAUUGCGGAUGUGAAAGUUACGUCGCUGUUUCAGGUAAAUUUAUAAAGGUCUGUCCAAAUAAAAUUUUAAAGUGGAUAUUUAGGUGUAGUCAAGCAUAUAGUUAUAUCUAACAAUGAAGCUUCUAUCAAUGCGUCUUUAAUAAUAUUUGAAUGUUUUUGAACCUUUUAGAAUACUAGCAAAAACAACGUAUAUUGUAAUUAGUUUUGAAUUUCUCUUAGAAAACCCCACAGAGAAAAGUAGAAACCAUUUUCCAAAAUGUGAACAUUUUAUUUUUAGGCAGGUUCUAUACUAAAUCUUAAAAGUAAAAAAAAUAUGUUUAUUAAAAGAUUUUUUACUUUACAAGGCUUGACAUCUUGCAAAGUCCCACAUUUAAGCAAUUGUUAAUAUGGAUCCUUAAAUGUGAGUUCCGCAGUAAUUUGAUCCGCAUAACCAAACAAAUAUAACACUUCAGCAGUCUCUUGAUGAAAUGAGUUUGUAAGUUUUUUGUCUUGAUGUAAAAUGCAUGUAUUACCAAUGUUCCUUUGUAUUAUUUAAACAAGGCAACUUUUACCCUCCCUAAUGCUAUAAUUUUGCUAAUAAACAAUCAAGAAUACUGGUCUCUUUUUUAAAUUGGCUCAACAAUUCACUUUUUUUCUGGAAUUUUUCCUUCAUCCAUACUUUACUGCUUUACUUCUGCAAGUAAUAUGCUGACUGAUUAUUACAUUACUUUUAUUUUGAGGUAAACACUGUUGCUAAUUGAUCAAUCCCAGAACUGGAAUCAUUCCAAGUGUUUCUACUUUCUCGACUGAAAAAUAUAUUCAAGGCAUUAUACUCAUAUAUUUGCAUCAUUUUAAGGAUAUCAAAUACAAAAAUAGAUUAGUUUAAUAUAUAUCUACAUCAGGUGAAAAACAAU